RNAcentral lists this ribosomal RNA (253 nucleotides) under uncultured bacterium. RNAcentral describes it as "partial 16S ribosomal RNA". It matches the Rfam family "Bacterial small subunit ribosomal RNA", at positions 524 to 776 of the family's 1533-position model. The record is from RNAcentral.
UACGAAGGGGACUAGCGUUGUUCGGAUUUACUGGGCGUAAAGCGCGCGUAGGCGGAUCGCUAAGUCAGGGGUGAAAUCCCAAGGCUCAACCUUGGAACUGCCUUUGAUACUGACGAUCUGGAGAUCGGGAGAGGUUGGUGGAAUUCCGAGUGUAGAGGUGAAAUUCGUAGAUAUUAGGAAGAACACCAGUGGCGAAGGCGGCUCACUGGCCCGGUACUGACGCUGAGGCGCGAAAGCGUGGGGAGCAAACAGG